GAUGAGCGCUGGCGGCGUGCCUAAUACAUGCAAGUCGAGCGAACAGACGAGGAGCUUGCUCCUCUGACGUUAGCGGCGGACGGGUGAGUAACACGUGGAUAACCUACCUAUAAGACUGGGAUAACUUCGGGAAACCGGAGCUAAUACCGGAUAAUAUAUUGAACCGCAUGGUUCAAUAGUGAAAGACGGUUUUGCUGUCACUUAUAGAUGGAUCCGCGCCGCAUUAGCUAGUUGGUAAGGUAACGGCUUACCAAGGCAACGAUGCGUAGCCGACCUGAGAGGGUGAUCGGCCACACUGGAACUGAGACACGGUCCAGACACCUACGGGAGGCAGCAGUAGGGAAUCUUCCGCAAUGGGCGAAAGCCUGACGGAGCAACGCCGCGUGAGUGAUGAAGGUCUUCGGAUCGUAAAACUCUGUUAUUAGGGAAGAACAAAUGUGUAAGUAACUAUGCACGUCUUGACGGUACCUAAUCAGAAAGCCACGGCUAACUACGUG
RNAcentral lists this ribosomal RNA (497 nucleotides) under uncultured bacterium. RNAcentral's name for it is "partial 16S ribosomal RNA". It matches the Rfam family "Bacterial small subunit ribosomal RNA", at positions 28 to 507 of the family's 1533-position model. The record is from RNAcentral.